UACGGAGGAUCCGAGCGUUAUCAGGAUUUAUUGGGUUUAAAGGGUGCGCAGGCGGGAGAUUAAGUCGGCGGUGAAAUUUUGCAGCUCAACUGUAAAAGUGCCUUCGAAACUGGUUUCCUUGAGUGUAGAUGAAGUAGGCGGAAUUUGUGGUGUAGCGGUGAAAUGCAUAGAUAUCACGAGGAACUCCGAUUGCGAAGGCAGCUUACUAAGCUACUACUGACGCUCAGGCACGAAGGCGUGGGGAUCAAACAGGAUUAGAUACCCU
Molecule: ribosomal RNA, 265 nt
Filed under: uncultured prokaryote
Description: partial 16S ribosomal RNA
Rfam family: Bacterial small subunit ribosomal RNA
Source: RNAcentral